CAUGCUAGGAUGUGAUGGGGAAGCCCUCCGUGGCGAAGUAGCUGAUUUCACACUGUCAAGAAAAGCUUCUAUCGAGUUUAAAGGCGCCCGUACCGUAAACCGACACAGGUGGGAGAGGAGAGUAUCCUAAGGCCAGCGAGAGAACUAUUGUUAAGGAACUCGGCAAAAUGACCCCGUAACUUAGGGAGAAGGGGUGCCUGUCUAUGACAGGCCGCAGAGAAUAGGCCCAAGCGACUGUUUACCAAAAACACAGGUUUCUGCUAAGUCGCAAGACGAUGUAUAGGAGCUGACGCCUGCCCGGUGCUGGAAGGUUAAGGGGAUCUGUUAGAGCAAUCGAAGCAGUGAACUUAAGCCCCAGUAAACGGCGGCCGUAACGAUAACGGUCCUAAGGUAGCGAAAUUCCUUGUCGGGUAAGUUCCGACCCGCACGAAAGGCGUAACGAUUUGGGCACUGUCUCAACAAUAGACUCGGUGAAAUUGUAAUCCCGGUGAAGAUGCCGGGUACCUGCGACAGGACGGAAAGACCCCAUGGAGCUUUACUGUAGCUUGACGUUGGGUCUUGGUACUACAUGUACAGGAUAGGUGGGAGACUAUGAAGUAUGGACGCCAGUCUGUGUGGAGUCAUCCUUGGGAUACCACCCUUGUAGUACUGGGAUCCUAACCAUAGGCCUUGAAUCAGGUCUUGGAACACCGUCAGGUGGGCAGUUUGACUGGGGCGGUCGCCUCCUAAAAAGUAACGGAGGCGCUCAAAGGUUUCCUCAGCACGGUCGGAAAUCGUGCGAAGAGUGUAAAGGCAAAAGGAAGCUUGAUUGCAAGACAUACAGGUUGAGCAAGGACGAAAGUCGGACUUAGUGAUCCGGUGGUACCGCAUGGAAGGGCCAUCGCUCAACGGAUAAAAGCUACCCUGGGGAUAACAGGCUUAUCUCCCCCAAGAGUCCACAUCGACGGGGAGGUUUGGCACCUCGAUGUCGGCUCAUCACAUCCUGGGGCUGUAGUAGGUCCCAAGGGUUGGGCUGUUCGCCCAUUAAAGUGGUACGCGAGCUGGGUUCAGAACGUCGUGAGACAGUUCGGUCCCUAUCCGUCGCAGGCGUAGGAAAUUUGAGAAGACCUGUCCUUAGUACGAGAGGACCGGGAUGGACGUACCUCUGGUGUACCAGUUGUUCUGCCAAGAGCAUGGCUGGGUAGCUAUGUACGGAAUGGAUAAGCGCUGAAAGCAUCUAAGCGCGAAGCCAACUUCAAGAUAAGAUUUCCCACCGUAAGGGUAAGACCCCAGGAAGACUACCUGGUUGAUAGGUCGAAGGUGUAAGUGCAGUAAUGUAUUUAGCUUAUCGAUACUAAUAGGUCGAGGACUUGACCAA
This 1357-nucleotide ribosomal RNA is filed under the name metagenome. RNAcentral's name for it is "bacterial LSU rRNA". It matches the Rfam family "Bacterial large subunit ribosomal RNA", at positions 1552 to 2925 of the family's 2925-position model. The record is from RNAcentral.